RNAcentral lists this ribosomal RNA (468 nucleotides) under uncultured bacterium. Its description in RNAcentral is "partial 16S ribosomal RNA". It matches the Rfam family "Bacterial small subunit ribosomal RNA", at positions 28 to 507 of the family's 1533-position model. The record is from RNAcentral.
GACGAACGCUGGCGGCGUGCUUAACACAUGCAAGUCGAACGGAAAGGCUCUGCUUUUGUGGGGUGCUCGAGUGGCGAACGGGUGAGUAACACGUGAGUAACCUGCCCUUGACUUUGGGAUAACUUCAGGAAACCGGGGCUAAUACCGGAUAGGAGCUCCUGCUGCAUGGUGGGGGUUGGAAAGUUUCGGCGGUUGGGGAUGGACUCGAGGGUUAUCAGCUUGUUGGUGGGGUAGUGGCUUACCAAGGCUUUGACGGGUAGCCGGCCUGAGAGGGUGACCGGCCACAUUGGGACUGAGAGACGGCCCAGACGCCUACGGGAGGCAGCAGUGGGGAAUAUUGCACAAUGGGCGGAAGCCUGAUGCAGCAACGCCGCGUGCGGGAUGACGGCCUUCGGGUUGUAAACCGCUUUCGCCUGUGACGAAGCGUGAGUGACGGUAAUGGGUAAAGAAGCACCGGCUAACUACGUG